AGAAACCACACAUUCACCUCCCCAAGAUCUUUGCUUUAGGCCCACUUCUCCAUCGCCGUGAGCUCAAGCACUGGAAAUCUCAGAUUUUGAUGACCAAGAUGCUUCAACCAGUCAAGAAGACUCCUUUAUCUCAAUCAAGUUUGAAGAGAAUGGCGUUUGUUCAUGGGAAAAAGGCGAAGUUUCAAAGGUUUCACUUGAGAAUUGCAGCAUGUCGUGGAACCCCACGUUGGACAAUAAGAGUGUGAUCGAGCAUCCGAAACCAGGAGGCUCGCUCCGGUGGCGAAAGCGGAUGGGCCACCUGUUUCAGCUCGUAAGGUGGAAGAGGUCCACCAGCAAGGCUGAGGGAGUCAAGGCCAUGAAGAAGAGCUGGAU
Hibiscus syriacus is the source of this 372-nucleotide long non-coding RNA. RefSeq lists it as uncharacterized. The record is from RefSeq and is a predicted model, not a curated record. The transcript is spliced from 2 exons. Lineage: Eukaryota; Viridiplantae; Streptophyta; Magnoliopsida; Malvales; Malvaceae.